UAGAAUUCCACGUGUAGCGGUGAAAUGCGUAGAGAUGUGGAGGAAUACCGGUGGCGAAGGCGGCCUUCUGGACAGAUACUGACGCUGAGAUGCGAAAGCGUGGGGAGCAAACAGGAUUAGAUACCCUGGUAGUCCACGCUGUAAACGAUGUCGAUUUGGAGUUUGUUGCCUAGAGUGAUGGGCUCCGAAGCUAACGCGAUAAAUCGACCGCCUGGGGAGUACGGCCGCAAGGUUAAAACUCAAAUGAAUUGACGGGGGCCCGCACAAGCGGUGGAGCAUGUGGUUUAAUUCGAUGCAACGCGAAGAACCUUACCUGGUCUUGACAUCCACAGAAUCUUGCAGAGAUGCGAGGGUGCCUUCGGGAACUGUGAGACAGGUGCUGCAUGGCUGUCGUCAGCUCGUGUUGUGAAAUGUUGGGUUAGGUCCCGCAACGAGCGCAACCCUUAUCCUUUGUUGCCAUUGGUUCGGCCGGGAACUCAAAGGAGACUGCCGUUGAUAAAGCGGAGGAAGGUGGGGACGACGUCAAGUCAUCAUGGCCCUUACGACCAGGGCUACACACGUGCUACAAUGGCGUAUACAAAGGGAGGCGACCUCGCGAGAGCAAGCGGACCUCAUAAAGUACGUCUAAGUCCGGAUUGGAGUCUGCAACUCGACUCCAUGAAGUCGGAAUCGCUAGUAAUCGUGAAUCAGAAUGU
This 695-nucleotide ribosomal RNA is filed under the name uncultured Gilliamella sp. Its description in RNAcentral is "bacterial SSU rRNA". It matches the Rfam family "Bacterial small subunit ribosomal RNA", at positions 662 to 1357 of the family's 1533-position model. The record is from RNAcentral. Lineage: Bacteria; Pseudomonadati; Pseudomonadota; Gammaproteobacteria; Orbales; Orbaceae.